This 97-nucleotide microRNA precursor is filed under the name Canis lupus familiaris (dog). RNAcentral's name for it is "mir-544 microRNA precursor family". It matches the Rfam family "mir-544 microRNA precursor family". Lineage: Eukaryota; Metazoa; Chordata; Mammalia; Carnivora; Canidae. The record is from Rfam by way of RNAcentral. RNAcentral also lists the same sequence under 2 other names.
GUCACUGAGGUAUCUUGUUAAAAUGCAGAUACUCAUUCUGCAUGUCUGGAGGAGGACUCAGAUUCUGCAUUUCUAAUAAGCUCCCAGGUGAUGCUGA